This is a long non-coding RNA of Asparagus officinalis (garden asparagus), 391 nucleotides long. RefSeq lists it as uncharacterized. Lineage: Eukaryota; Viridiplantae; Streptophyta; Magnoliopsida; Asparagales; Asparagaceae. The transcript has 2 exons. The record is from RefSeq and is a predicted model, not a curated record.
UAGUAGACCCUUGUUUGUCUGGGCCCCUGUCCUAGUCAUUACUACUUCUACAAUGUCCCCUGAGCUAUGUUGAUGAGGUCAUGCAACCUACCAAGGGUUACUGCCUGAAGGAGGCUCAAAGAGGGUCUUUUGAAUGCUGCGUUAUAGGGGGAUUCCAUCAGAUUAUGAAGAAUAUCACCACUAUCAUUAUUUAGCAUGGAGGGAUCCCUAUGAGCAGUAGAAGGUUUACUAUUCCAUGGGGUCUUACAGUAUGUCCUGUGAAGCUUAUUAAGGGACUCGAGCAAGGUCUAAGGAAGUGGCGUGAGUCUCUUUUUCGAAUAAACUCAUUAUCAUGUAGGACAUAAACUGAGCUUUCCUUGUCAAUCAAAAUUUUACUGAUUUCUUAGUCAUA